CCCAGACUCCUACGGGAGGCAGCAGUGAGGAAUAUUGGUCAAUGGGCGGAAGCCUGAACCAGCCAAGUCGCGUGAGGGAAGAAGGCCCUGCGGGUCGCAGACCUCUUUGGGCGGGGAGCAAGGCCGCCGACGUGUCGGCGGAAGGAGAGUACCCGUAGAACAAGCAUCGGCUAACUCCGUGCCAGCAGCCGCGGUAAUACGGAGGAUGCGAGCGUUAUCCGGAUUUAUUGGGUUUAAAGGGUGCGCAGGCGGCACGGCAAGCCGGCGGUCAAAUCGCGGGGCUCAACCCCGUCCGGCCGUUGAAACUGGGGGCCUUGAGUGGGCGAGAAGAAGGCGGAAUGCGUGGUGUAGCGGUGAAAUGCAUAGAUAUCACGCAGAACUCCGAUUGCGAAGGCAGCAUACCGGCGCUCAACUGACGCUCAUGCACGAAAGCGUGGGUAUCGAACAGGAUUAGAUACCCGCGUAC
This 466-nucleotide ribosomal RNA is filed under the name uncultured bacterium. RNAcentral's name for it is "bacterial SSU rRNA". It matches the Rfam family "Bacterial small subunit ribosomal RNA", at positions 330 to 793 of the family's 1533-position model. The record is from RNAcentral.